AACGCACAUUGCGCCCCUCGGUACUCCGGGGGGCAUGCCUGUCCGAGCGUCAUUGAAAACCCAUCAAGCCUGGCUUGGUCUUGGGCGCGGUCUUGGGACCCGCCCGCAACCCGUCGGCGGUGCCGUUCGGCCCUGAGCGUAGCAAAACCUCUCGCUCGAGGGUCGCGGCGGUGCCCGCUAGAAGCACACUCCUCGAGUUUGACCUCGGAUCAGGUAGGGAUACCCGCUGAACUUAA
RNAcentral lists this unclassified non-coding RNA (236 nucleotides) under uncultured fungus. RNAcentral's name for it is "partial contains 5.8S ribosomal RNA, internal transcribed spacer 2, and large subunit ribosomal RNA". The stretch from base 1 to 52 matches the Rfam family "5.8S ribosomal RNA", at positions 103 to 154 of the family's 154-position model. The record is from RNAcentral. Lineage: Eukaryota; Fungi.